Lingula anatina is the source of this 72-nucleotide non-coding RNA. Lineage: Eukaryota; Metazoa; Brachiopoda; Lingulata; Lingulida; Lingulidae. The record is from Rfam.
GGACCUGUGGUGUACUGGUAACAUGUCUCCCUGUCCAGGAGAAGAUAGCGAGUUCGAUCCUCGUCAGGUCCG